GCCGGGGUAGCUCAGUUGGUAGAGCAACUGAUUCGUAAUCAGUAGGUCGGGUGUUCGACUCACCUCUCCGGCACCA
This 76-nucleotide transfer RNA is filed under the name Thiotrichales bacterium. RNAcentral's name for it is "tRNA-Thr". It matches the Rfam family "tRNA". From Rfam's summary of the family: Transfer RNA (tRNA) molecules are approximately 80 nucleotides in length. Their secondary structure includes four short double-helical elements and three loops (D, anti-codon, and T loops). The record is from RNAcentral. RNAcentral also lists the same sequence under 1 other name. Lineage: Bacteria; Pseudomonadati; Pseudomonadota; Gammaproteobacteria; Thiotrichales.